This 253-nucleotide ribosomal RNA is filed under the name uncultured bacterium. RNAcentral's name for it is "partial 16S ribosomal RNA". It matches the Rfam family "Bacterial small subunit ribosomal RNA", at positions 524 to 776 of the family's 1533-position model. The record is from RNAcentral.
UACAGAGGUCUCAAGCGUUGUUCGGAUUCAUUGGGCGUAAAGGGUGCGUAGGCGGCGCGGUAAGUCGGGUGUGAAAUCUUGGAGCUUAACUCCGAAACUGCAUUCGAUACUGCCGUGCUUGAGGACUGGAGAGGAGACUGGAAUUUACGGUGUAGCGGUGAAAUUCGUAGAUAUCGUAAGGAAGACCAGUGGCGAAGGCGGGUCUCUGGACAGUUCCUGACGCUGAGGCACGAAGGCCAGGGGAGCAAACGGG